UAGGGAGACCUACCUUGGGGCAUCUGAGGGGAGUUAGACCACCCUCAGGCCAGCAAAGGUUAUCCCAGGUCGGUCGGGGUUGAAGGGAUGGUUGACUGAGGUUCUGGAGGGGAACCGAGGGGAGGGCUAUUAGCUCAGGUGGUUAGAGCGCACCCCUGAUAAGGGUGAGGUCCCUGGUUCGAGUCCAGGAUGGCCCACUGUUUGUCCUGGAGAAGGGAGAGCUAGCAAGCUAGAAGCGAGCUGGCCAAGCUGAGGGCAAAGCCAGAGGGUGGGUGCAGUCUGGACUGGGGGUAUAGCUCAGCUGGUAGAGCGCUGCCUUUGCACGGCAGAAGUCAGCGGUUCGAGUCCGCUUACCUCCACCACUUUGGUGAGGAGCCGGGAAGGGGUUCUCCAGUUGGAUAGGUUGACGACCGGGCUAGGGGUUUGGGUCCGAGCACAAGCCUCCAGCCGGGUUGAGCCG
RNAcentral lists this transfer RNA (460 nucleotides) under uncultured cyanobacterium. RNAcentral describes it as "partial 16S-23S rRNA intergenic spacer". The stretch from base 287 to 359 matches the Rfam family "tRNA". The record is from RNAcentral. Lineage: Bacteria; Bacillati; Cyanobacteriota.